UACGUAGGGUGCUAGCGUUGUUCGGAAUCAUUGGGCGUAAAGCGCGUGUAGGCGGUUAGUUAAGUCGGGUGUGAAAUCCCUGGGCUCAACCGAGGAAGUGCAUCCGAAACUGAUUGGCUAGAAAACGGUAGAGGAAGGUGGAAUUCCAAGUGUAGAGGUGAAAUUCGUAGAUAUUUGGAGGAAUACCGGUGGCGAAGGCGGCCUUCUGGACCGUUCUUGACGCUGAGACGCGAAAGCGUGGGGAGCAAACAGG
RNAcentral lists this ribosomal RNA (253 nucleotides) under uncultured prokaryote. RNAcentral describes it as "partial 16S ribosomal RNA". It matches the Rfam family "Bacterial small subunit ribosomal RNA", at positions 524 to 776 of the family's 1533-position model. The record is from RNAcentral.